This is a long non-coding RNA of Apus apus (common swift), 290 nucleotides long. RefSeq lists it as uncharacterized. Lineage: Eukaryota; Metazoa; Chordata; Aves; Apodiformes; Apodidae. The transcript has 3 exons. The record is from RefSeq and is a predicted model, not a curated record.
AUUUUCUCACUGUAAGAAGAGAAACACAGUGACUGCCUGGUCUCUGAAUGAGAUGCAUCAUUAUUGUUAAAAUAGUCCAAGAAGUGGGAAGGAAAUAUUUCUUUCAGAAGAAGGAUUGAGACAUUAAAUCUAAUUCAGCUGUCAUUUUUACUUGGACAAAAUAAGAAAUUGAUGUUGACCUCUACUUUGAAGAAGUGGCUUAAAUACUUGUCACUGAUCUGUGUAAUAUUUGAUAAAGGUAAAAUAUAAUUGAAGAAAUAUCUUUGGCUUGGUAGAUGGACAUUGCACCA